CCUACGGGUGGCAGCAGUGAGGAAUAUUGGUCAAUGGGCGGGAGCCUGAACCAGCCAAGUCGCGUGAGGGAAGACGGUCCUAUGGAUUGUAAACCUCAUUAGGCGGGGCGCAAUGCCGGGCACGCGUGCCCGGAGGGAGAGUACCCGCAGAAUAAGCCUCGGCAAACUCCGUGCCAGAAGCCGCGGUAAUCGGGAGGAUUCGGGAGUUAUCCGGAUGUAUGGGGUUUAAGGGGUCCGUAGGCGGAUUUUAAAGUCAGCGGUAAAAGGUCUGGCCUCAACCCGGGCCGGCCGUUGAAACUGGGGAUCUUGAGUGGGCGAGAAGUAUGCGGAAUGCGUGGUGUAGCGGUGAAAUGCAUAGAUAUCACGCAGAACUCCGAUUGCGAAGGCAGCAUACCGGCGCCCGACUGACGCUGAGGCACGAAAGCGUGGGGAUCGAACAGGAUUAGAUACCCUAGUAGUC
Molecule: ribosomal RNA, 460 nt
Filed under: uncultured bacterium
Lineage: Bacteria
Description: partial 16S ribosomal RNA
Rfam family: Bacterial small subunit ribosomal RNA
Source: RNAcentral